Molecule: transfer RNA, 76 nt
Filed under: Kiritimatiellia bacterium
Lineage: Bacteria; Pseudomonadati; Kiritimatiellota; Kiritimatiellia
Description: Kiritimatiellae bacterium (sponge metagenome) tRNA-Thr
Rfam family: tRNA
About the family: Transfer RNA (tRNA) molecules are approximately 80 nucleotides in length. Their secondary structure includes four short double-helical elements and three loops (D, anti-codon, and T loops).
Source: RNAcentral
GCCAGCGUAGCUCAGUCGGUAGAGCGGCUCAUUCGUAAUGAGCAGGUCAUCGGUUCAAUUCCGAUCGCUGGCUCCA